RNAcentral lists this ribosomal RNA (127 nucleotides) under Danio rerio (zebrafish). Lineage: Eukaryota; Metazoa; Chordata; Actinopteri; Cypriniformes; Danionidae. The record is from RNAcentral.
ACUACAGAAGAGUCAAGCUUUAAUUAGGAAUUUUAUCAAAUCCCUUUGGCCUACUGAAGUUAAGCAGGUCUGUGCCCGGUCAGUAUCUAGAUGGGAGACCACAUGGGAAAGCUUGCUUUCGGAAGUG